RNAcentral lists this small RNA (713 nucleotides) under Histoplasma ohiense. RNAcentral's name for it is "hypothetical lncRNA". The record is from RNAcentral. Lineage: Eukaryota; Fungi; Ascomycota; Eurotiomycetes; Onygenales; Ajellomycetaceae.
CUCGCUGCUAAGCUAUCACAGCCAAUCUAUCGCUGCUAAUCUAUCGCUGCCAACCUAUCUACCGCGGCGAAUCUAUCUAUCGCUGCCAAUUUAUCUACCACUGCCAAUCUAUCUAUCGCUGCCAAUCUAUUGCUGCUAAUCUAUCGCUGCUAAUCUAUCGCUGCUGCCAAUCUAUCUUUCGCUGCUAAUCUAUCGCCGCUGCCAAUCUAUCCCUCGCUGCUAAGCUAUCGCCGCUGCCAAUCUAUCCCUCGCUGCUAAGCUAUCCCUCGCUGCUAAGCUAUCCCUCACUGCUAAGCUAUCUCUAGCUGCUAAGCUAUCCCUCACUGCUAAGCUAUCCCUCGCUGCUAAGCUAUCCCUCACUACUAAGCUAUCUAUCACUGCUAAUCUAUCGCUGCCAACCUAUCUAUCACUGCCAAUCUAUCUAUCGCUGCUAAUCUAUCGCUGCUAAUCUAUCGCUGCUAAUCUAUCGCUGCUAAUCUAUCGCUGCCAACCUAUCUACCGCGGCGAAUCUAUCUAUCACUAUCAUUACUAGUUCAAAAUAGAACUAGAGCAUAAAUACACUAAACUUCUUUUGAUAGGUAAUGAUUUUUGGUAACACUCAUAGCAUUAUAUCAUCUAUAUAGGGUAAAUCAUGGUCCCAUUUGGUCCCAUUUUAACAAAAUGGGACCAAAUGGGACCAGAAUCAGUAAUUUAUAAGAAGAACAUGACCUGGG